This 1041-nucleotide long non-coding RNA is filed under the name Citrus x clementina. RNAcentral's name for it is "Citrus clementina (C. clementina) long non-coding RNA (CCLE_LNC004658)". The record is from RNAcentral. Lineage: Eukaryota; Viridiplantae; Streptophyta; Magnoliopsida; Sapindales; Rutaceae.
AUUUGCCGCAUUUCUAGAGGAAUAACAAGAGGAGCAUGAGGCGUAAGAGGUAAAUAUUUUAUUAAAAAUAUUGAUUAAGUAUCUAUAUUUAUUUCAUUUAUCUCAUUGUUGAUAUAAAAGUAAUUUUUUUUUCAAUUGUAGGAUUAUGAAGAUUGAUCAAAAUAAUUAUUAUGGUGAUUUAUACUUUGUAAUGUGACUUUUGUAAUGGAUUAAUGUUAAUGUAAGAGAUAUUGUCAAACUUUAUUUUUAUUUGAAUUUUUUAUUUUAAUAUGAUUAAAUUAAAAUCAAAAAUUAAAAAUGUAUCAGUUAUUCAGGAAUCGAGGACCAUCGAGGAUCCCCUAUUAUUAUUCGAAGAGGGGACGAGAAUUUCUUAAAGCAAUUUUGUAGGGGAUGAGGAGGAGACGGAAAUAUAUUUAGAAUAUUAAGGAUGGGUACGGGAAGAUCAGUCUUCUCCCCUCUCCUUCCCAUUGUCAUCCCUAAGUAAUUUGCGUAUCUAUGUUCAAUACAGUUGGCAUCUCCCCCCAUGAAUUAUUAGCUCACAGUGAUGAGGCUAAAAUCAGUAAAAAUAAUUGGAAGGAAAAGAGCUUGUCAACUGAUACGCUAAAAUCAGUAAAAAUAAUUAUGGACUGAUAAAAAAUUAAAAAAGAAGGCAGUUAAAUGCCAAAAUAUAGUUAUGGUGAGAGGCUGUCAACUAAACUAAAUUCAAAGCGAAUCACUAAAGAGAACUGUUAUUUAAAAUUUAAUUAAUGUUUUGCAUUAAAAAAAAAAAUUAAAGAAUUUUAUCUAGUAGUACCCACAAAAAAAAAGUACAUGACUGUUGGCAAACUUCCAUAACUAACAGAUAGGGAUGGCAAUGGGGAGGGGAGGGGAGGGGACCGAUCUCCCCGUACCCAUCCCCGAUAUUUUACGUAUGUCCCCAUCCCCUCCCCGUCCCCGUCAGAAUUACUUGAGAGAAUCCCCAUCCCCUCCCCGAAUAAUAACAGGGGAUCCCCGAGGGUCCCCGAUCCCCGAAUAACUAAUACAUUUUUUUUUCGAUUUUGA